GGGGAGCCGAAGGGAAACCGAGUCUUAACUGGGCGUUAAGUUGCAGGGUAUAGACCCGAAACCCGGUGAUCUAGCCAUGGGCAGGUUGAAGGUUGGGUAACACUAACUGGAGGACCGAACCGACUAAUGUUGAAAAAUUAGCGGAUGACUUGUGGCUGGGGGUGAAAGGCCAAUCAAACCGGGAGAUAGCUGGUUCUCCCCGAAAGCUAUUUAGGUAGCGCCUCGUGAAUUCAUCUCCGGGGGUAGAGCACUGUUUCGGCAAGGGGGUCAUCCCGACUUACCAACCCGAUGCAAACUGCGAAUACCGGAGAAUGUUAUCACGGGAGACACACGGCGGGUGCUAACGUCCGUCGUGAAGAGGGAAACAACCCAGACCGCCAGCUAAGGUCCCAAAGUCAUGGUUAAGUGGGAAACGAUGUGGGAAGGCCCAGACAGCCAGGAUGUUGGCUUAGAAGCAGCCAUCAUUUAAAGAAAGCGUAAUAGCUCACUGGUCGAGUCGGCCUGCGCGGAAGAUGUAACGGGGCUAAACCAUGCACCGAAGCUGCGGCAGCGACACUAUGUGUUGUUGGGUAGGGGAGCG
Molecule: ribosomal RNA, 580 nt
Filed under: Escherichia coli
Lineage: Bacteria; Pseudomonadati; Pseudomonadota; Gammaproteobacteria; Enterobacterales; Enterobacteriaceae
Also listed under: 1 other name
Description: partial 23S ribosomal RNA
Rfam family: Bacterial large subunit ribosomal RNA
Source: RNAcentral